CCUACGGGAGGCAGCAGUAGGGAAUCUUCCGCAAUGGGCGCAAGCCUGACGGAGCAACGCCGCGUGAGUGAUGAAGGCCUUCGGGUUGUAAAACUCUGUCUUCUGUGAAGAACCAUCCUGUGCAGAGAAAGCUCAGGACCUGACGGUAACAGAGGAGGAAGCCCCGGCUAACUACGUGCCAGCAGCCGCGGUAAUACGUAGGGGGCAAGCGUUGUCCGGAUUCACUGGGCGUAAAGCGCGCGCAGGCGGUCUCUCACGUCCGGGGUGAAAGCCCAGAGCUCAACUCUGGGAUUGCCUUGGAUACGGGGAGACUUGAGGAUCGGAGAGGCAAGGGGAAUUCCACGUGUAGCGGUGAAAUGCGUAGAGAUGUGGAGGAACACCUGUGGCGAAGGCGCCUUGCUGGCCGAUUUCUGACGCUGAGGCGCGAAAGCGUGGGGAGCAAACAGGAUUAGAUACCCUGGUAGUCCACGCCGUAAACGAUGAGUGNUGUGUAGGGUCCGACCCGUACGUGCGACGCACGCAUAGACACUCCGCCGUCGGGAGGUACGGUCGCGAGACGUAGAACGUUAAAGUAGUAGUUAGACGGACGUGAGACGUUGCCGACGGACGACGACGAGGGAGGAGG
Molecule: ribosomal RNA, 625 nt
Filed under: uncultured bacterium
Lineage: Bacteria
Description: bacterial SSU rRNA
Rfam family: Bacterial small subunit ribosomal RNA (bases 1-535)
Source: RNAcentral